Molecule: ribosomal RNA, 253 nt
Filed under: uncultured bacterium
Lineage: Bacteria
Description: partial 16S ribosomal RNA
Rfam family: Bacterial small subunit ribosomal RNA
Source: RNAcentral
UACGUAGGGUGCGAGCGUUGUCCGGAAUUACCGGGCGUAAAGAGCUCGUAGGUGGUUUGUCGCGUUGUCCGUGAAAACUCACAACUCAAUUGUGGGCGUGCGGGCGAUACGGGCAGACUGGAGUACUGCAGGGGAGACUGGAAUUCCUGGUGUAGCGGUGGAAUGCGCAGAUAUCAGGAGGAACACCGGUGGCGAAGGCGGGUCUCUGGGCAGUAACUGACGCUGAGGAGCGAAAGCGUGGGGAGCGAACAGG